This 1180-nucleotide long non-coding RNA is filed under the name Oryctolagus cuniculus (rabbit). RNAcentral's name for it is "lncRNA (ENSOCUG00000035226.1)". Lineage: Eukaryota; Metazoa; Chordata; Mammalia; Lagomorpha; Leporidae. The record is from RNAcentral.
AUGGCGGCAGAAGAAAGGGCUUCUUGGCGUGGUCCCUGCCGGUGGGGGUGGGUGCCCAGGGGGCCCCUGCCCGUGGCCAGCUUCCUGCUGAUGGCCUGGGCCGGCCCUCGUUGGCACGCCUACAGGUGUGGGGUGGAUGGCUCUGGUGCCAGCCCCGGGCGGGGGGGUGGUGCUGUGACUCAGCCGGCCUGUAGCUUCAGCGUGCCAGCCCUCAGCCCAGCCAUGCCUCCUGUGCCACCCCCCACUGCAGAGACACCCAAAGCUCCGAGCUGCCGGCCUGCAGCUUGGGCCUCUUCGCGCUCGGCUUUAUGGCAAUAGCGUCUGGAGGAGGCCAGCACAGGGGUAGCUAUGAGUCUGAACACGUGGUGAGGACUCAGUUACCUCAUCUGGAAAAUGGGACGAUAGUCUCUCCCCUUAGGGUUGUCAGGAUGAAAUGAGAUCACACGAGGGGAGGGCCUGGCUCCCAGUGUGCACUGCUGCGGCUGUUGCUAUUUUAACACUAAUUCACCGAAAUCUUACGAAGAUGUCUCCCAUCCUCUCCCCGGGCUGUGAAGCCCUCACCACCCCCUCUCUCCCUCUCCCCCGGGUGCCCCACCCUGCCCUGGCCUCCUGCUCCUGUCCCUGUCCAUGACAGCAUGGUCUCUGUUGGAGUCUUCGUCGUCCUGAGCCUCCCUGGGUCCCUUGUGUCUCUGGCUCUCUCACCUCUGGUCUGUUGGCCACAGGCGCGCACCUGCUGCCCUCCCCCUGAUGGAGCAUGUGCGGAGACGCCACCGGGCAGGCUGUGUGUCUUCAGCCGUCCUCAGCUGAGCCUUCACCCCAGGCACCCGGCACCCCCUCCUGGCUGAUGGGCAUGGUAGAAUGGGGGUUCAAGAGGCUGGGCGCACCGCACACUGGGCUAGAGAAGGCCUGACUGCUGAGUAACCCCUGCAUGGGCUCUCCUGAGUGGUGUGGGGGGGACAUCCGUGCGACAGGAGCCCUCGUGGCUGUGGCUUAGUGAAGUCAGUGGCCAUACUCGGGUGCUCUGUGACAUGGCACGUGUGAUGCUGUGACAUUGGGUGAUUCCACGUGUGUGACCAUAGCCACGCAGCACUGAUGUUGUAGGUCAUUGCUUGACGCUGUGAUAACACUGAGUGUGUGACACUGCAUCUGUGUGACGUGCGGCAGCCGUGCUGUGCCUGGU